This is a long non-coding RNA of Nomascus leucogenys (northern white-cheeked gibbon), 2867 nucleotides long. RefSeq lists it as uncharacterized. The transcript has 3 exons. The record is from RefSeq and is a predicted model, not a curated record. Lineage: Eukaryota; Metazoa; Chordata; Mammalia; Primates; Hylobatidae.
UCAGAGGAUGAUGUCAUUGGACAACGACUCCAUAAUACAUGCCAGUUAUAGUAGCAUCCCCACAGAUCCAAGCUAAACUGUUCUCAAACUGUCAAUCAAGCAACGUACAGGAGGAAAAAAGAAAAGGAACAACCGUCAUCAGCCAAACUUCUUCUUUGAAGUUUAAAUGCAAAAAGAUCCCCGGUUGAAGGGACUGGAGCGUAGCUGGCCUCUCUUCAGCACUAAAGCACAACUUCAUAGAGAUGCAUAUGUUCCCAGGGGAAAAUGCAUUCAUUUUUCAUCACUGUAUAAACUUCUGGGUAUAUUUGUAUAGAUGACGGACUAUGGAUUUCUGGAGCAAGAUGGGGAGCGUCAGAAACCUAACUCGCGGAUUUGCUGGGUUCUCCCAACUGUAACGGGAACCUCACUCCCAGGCCGAUGCCCCUUUAGCGUCUGCAGCUCUGGGCCCCAGGGAGGAAGGAGCCACAGAGGGUUCGGACAACAGCACUGACUGAUGCCAGAGCAGGACUCCAUUCUGUUAACCUGACAAAGCGCACAGGCUGCACCGGCAUGUUUUUCUUCCACUUUCUACACUAAUUUAUCAAACUGGAAGGAAGAGAUCAGAACAUCAAAUAAAAAUCCACAGCCGCAGAGCAAUUAACUCAAGACCUAACAUGUACCUGGAUAAGGGGACUCACAAGAAUUCCAGUAUCUACAAGGUUUUAAAUGGCAAUGUUUUCUAACUUUGUAUCUUGGGUUAUUGGUCGUCAAUGUUUCCAAAAAUAAUCACUCCUCUCAGUUACAUUUUCUGAUCAAUUAUUUAAUGAGGUCUGUGUUAUACAACAUAAAUUUCACCCCGAGGGGGGAAAACUCAUGCUCUUGAGUGGUCAGCUAGAAAGCUGACAAUUUUUGUGAAAAAGGCAAAUUUUUAGCCUGGCAAAUUGUGCUGGCUGGGUUUAUAGGGCAUUAAGAAAACUAAUACUAGUACAGAGGAAAAAAAAAGGCAGAGUUUGUGAUAGACUAGGGGCCUGGAGAUCUCUAGGUUAAAUAUCAACUCAAGUCUGAAAGCUUCAGAUCAACUCUAGGCCUUCUCUACACGAAAACGUGGCCACCUCGUAGAGAAAUGGUUCAACACCCCUCCUCACUCUUCCUUUGUUUGCUCCGCAUGUCCCUAAGUAGGCCUGGGUGGAACUGAGGGAGAAAAUCCUUCCUGGUUUCUCCUUCUCCGAGGAAGGAGGGCAGGUUAGUGCAGCCUGCUGUUGACUGGAGCUGGGAUUAAUUAGUUCCUCCAGUGACCUUGGCACCUACUGAUGGCGAAGUGUGUCUCUAAGCUGCUGAGAGCCACAGAGAAACUCAGGAGGACUGAGAGCUACUGCUAAAAUGAUAGUUGAGCCAAAAAACAUAAACGAUGACGAAAGAAAACCAAAAACAUGUACCUUAUCUGUAAACACUGCCUGAGUAUGUUAUUCAAAUGGUUGAUGUGAAGAAAUACUUCAAUCUAUCUCUGCAUGUAUGUUUAUUUAAAUCUUGAUUGAUCAGUCUAUUGUCCUUGUGGGUAAUUUUGCAAGCCAGUGUCCCGUACCUUGCCAGGGAUUUCUGGAGGAGGCUGUUACCUGUGGUUGGGGCUGAAAACAAUUUUAAAGCAUCCCACCAUGCAGUUGUGGAAGAUCAUCUGUCCUGCCACACUUUACCUUCAUCUAUUCACUACCCCCCGUCCCCGACCGUCGCCCCGCUGUGCUCAGGCCUGAACAGAGCUGAGAGAAGUUAAAGAGCCCCACCUCUUUCUCUUAUCAUAGCUGGUUCAAGGUUCAAUUUGAGUCAACAAUGGGUCAACACUGCCAGAGAAGCUCGGUGUCUUGGGUUGCAUAAAUAAAGGUAUUCUAUCAUGAAUUAGGGAGGUGCCAUACUGAUCCUGUCAGAGGAAUUCUGACAUCUUCAAAUACGUGAGGGGGCUCACCUCCUAAAGAGACACUUGAUUUGCUUAGGGUUACUCCAAAGGCCUGAACAAGGAUGAAGAGUGCAGGUUACAGAGUCCCAUUUCAUUUCAGCAUGAGGAAGAAUUUUCUAACAAAAUGCUAUGGCUUGUAUGCGCCACGGGGUCACGAUUGUCCAGUCAAUAAAGAAAGAUACACAAUAGCUGGAAACAGCUUGUCAGGGCCGGGGAAGAGGGUAGACAGGAAUUCCGCUAGAUAAUCCCUCAGAUGCCUUCCCACUUGGGAUUUCCUUCUAAUUUCCACCUUAUAUUUGUGUUUUUUGUCAGUUGGGUGGAUCUCCAAGGAGUGGCGUGGUGGGGCUGUCAGAAUCCUGUGUAAUGUGAAAAAGUUCUUCCAUCGACUCUAAUGUGUCUUCCCACAGCAAACCACCGUUCUGGUACUUGAGUACCCAGGAGAACAAAGAAGCAGCUAGAGUAGCAUGCAUUGUGGGAAGUAAGUAGUUAAAAGGACCAAAGCUCUCUGCUGGUCCCAGCAGCCCCAGAGGCAGCCAGUCCCUUUGAUCCUGCCUCUUAAUUGCAGCCUACUUGCACCAGGGAACUUUAAAGAAAAAAAAAAAAAAACAGGGAAACUCUAGAGAUAGAGCUUGUUUUGUUUCCUGAGGGGAUGGUCUUUGUGGUGGCUGCCAGGAAGCUGAUACUUGAGGCUUCAAAUGAUUGGUUUCCUAAGGGGGAAAAUAAAUAGUCCCUUCCACCAGCUAAGAGUCAGGUGUGACUAGAACCCCAGAAAUAUGAGGUGUCUGUGUGUGCCAUUUAGUAGGGGUGCCGGGUACAGACUUGGAAGAGAGAACAGGACAUUAGAAAAGAGACCAUGGGCUAGCACAGGAGCAGGCAGAGCACUAGAAAAAGAGAGCCUGUUUAACACUUGGACACAGGAAGGGGAACAUCGCACAGCGGG